CAUUAUUGAACAUUGAGAGGAUGGCAUGAGGUUGUUGCUGGUCCACUUGUUUGUUUGGGGAGGGGGGGGGCAAGUGCACGCCUCGGCUGUCACAUUCUGUCCACCUGUGCACCCAUUGUAGGGAUUUCCCCAGGGUAUGAGAANAUUUUGAUCGACUUCUUGUUUCUGUGUCUGGGGGGGAACCUUAUGAUAUUUUUGAUUUACAAAUUGGAAAAUGAAUGUCAGUAGAAUGAAAGAAUAAUAAAAAUGUACAACUUUCAACAAUGGAUCUCUUGGCUCUCGCAUCGAUGAAGAACGCAGCGAAAUGCGAUAAGUAGUGUGAAUUGCAGAAUUCAGUGAAUCAUCGAAUGUUUGAACGCACCUUGCGCUCCUUGGCAGUCCUUGGAGCAUGCCUGUUUGAGUGUCGAUAAAAUUUAUCAUGACUGCCUCGAUGGGUGAAUUGAGGUGGUUUUGGACAGGUGGGGGUUGCUGGGCUCAAUUAUUUUUUUGAGGUAUGCUCUCCUGAAAAGCAUUGGCAGAGUUUGAGAUGGUUGGUCUCAAGGUGUGAUAAAGUAAAANUGAUCACCGAUCAGAAGGCAUUAAAUUACCAUCGUUUGCUCAGCCAUCAAUUUGGAUGAUUGAAUAAGUGACCUCAAAUCAGGCAGGACUACCCGCUGAACUUAAGCAUAUCAAUAAGCGGAGGAAAAGAAACUAACGAGGAUUCCCCUAGUAACUGCGAGUGAAGCGGGAAAAGCUCAAAUUUAAAAUCUGGCGGUGGUGAGCCGUCCGAAUUGUAGCCUAGAGAAGUGAUGCCUGCACUGGACCGUGUAAAAGUCUUCCUGGGAUGGAGCGUCAGAGAGGGUGAGAAUCCCGUCUUUGACACGGACUGCCAGUGCGGUGUGGCACGCUCUCGAAGAGUUGAGUUGUUUGGGAAUGCAGCUCUAAAUGGGUGGUAAACUCCAUCUAAAGCUAAAUAUUGGCGAGAGACCGAUAGCGAACAAGUACCGUGAGGGAAAGAUGAAAAGAACUUUGGAAAGAGAGUUAAACAGUAUGUGAAAUUGUUGAAAGGGAAACGUUUGAAGUCAGUCGCGUUGGUCAGGGAUCAAGCCAGCUUCAGUGAUGCUGGGUGCAUUUCCUGGUCGAUGGGUCAACAUGAGUUUUGAGUGCUGGAGAAAGACGGGGGGAAUGUGACACCGAUGGGUGUGUUAUAGCCCUCAGUCUGAUGCAGUGGUCGGGACUGAGGACAGCAGCGCGCCGCAGGGCCAGGUUUUUUA
This 1253-nucleotide ribosomal RNA is filed under the name Amanita cyanopus. RNAcentral describes it as "eukaryotic LSU rRNA". The stretch from base 627 to 1253 matches the Rfam family "Eukaryotic large subunit ribosomal RNA", at positions 1 to 623 of the family's 3401-position model. Lineage: Eukaryota; Fungi; Basidiomycota; Agaricomycetes; Agaricales; Amanitaceae. The record is from RNAcentral.